Molecule: long non-coding RNA, 1085 nt
Organism: Sinocyclocheilus grahami
Lineage: Eukaryota; Metazoa; Chordata; Actinopteri; Cypriniformes; Cyprinidae
Exons: 3
Source: RefSeq, a predicted model, not a curated record
GUGUGUCCUGGGAGAGAGAGAGCGAGCGAGAGCGAGAGAGAUGGCGAGGGAGGGAGAAAAUGAAAUGUAAGACAGAUACGGAGAGUGAAAGAGAAGAAGGGGGUGUGGAGAGAGCAAGCUAGCGAGAGUGGAGAGCCAGUAAUGCAGUGCAUUGAUGCAUUUGCUGCGUCUCAGGCGUGCUCUUUCAGCGGGACGUAGCCCGGGGUUUUUGGCAGCGGCAGGCUGCCUGUUUUCCAUCACCCAAUCGAGCCAGACCUGGAAUAGGGAUAUACGUGCGAACGGAGUUGCCGUGGCUGAGCAGCGCUGGACGAGUGAGGUGAAGUGAAUGAGUGAGAGUCUCUGUGCUGUGCUGUGUGUGCGUGUGUGUUCACCCCCUCCUCUCCUGAGAUCCAGCAGACUGGCAUGAUUUGCUGGUGGUGUGGCCCUGGCUGCUGCUUGGACUGUCUCUCAUCCUCAGUGCCAUCACACCACCCUUCGGCUUUUUCUCAUCUGCACGAUCUCCACCUCUGCGGCUUUUGUCGGCAAGCUGUAAUAUGGACGCACGGACCUUUGCUUUGAUAUUACCAUCCAUCCAUCUCGCCUCUUGUCCACCUCUCCUCUCUUUCAUUCUUCCUCUUUCGUUUGACGCUAACAGCCUUCCAGUCAACAUGACCGCUGCGAGAGAACUGUGAUCGGCUUCAUACUCAUCCUCAUCCUCGCACCAGGUACAUAACAAAUCAUCAAAGCCGGGAUUAAAAUUUCGUGAAGGAGCAGCUUUGACUGCUGGAAGACUUAAGCGUAUUAGCUUUAAAACCAAGAUGGGAGUUUCAAGUGAUGUAUGGCAGACUUCAAAGAUGUUUUAAUCUGUCAGUAGGCAUGCUCUUGCACAGGCUAUUUAUAUUAGGACACAGUGUUUCUUCUGCUUGCACAUCCUAAUCAAUGGCUUCUCCGGCUAGACCCAGCCUGAUGUUGGUGUUAACCAGUUAUUAAACAGCUGCACUUCCUCUAGACUGUUUCCUCUGCUUUUCUUUAGAGUGGUCUUUAGAGGCACAUGUACUUAUUAUGAAUACUGAUUAUGAAUAAUCAUUUUAUGAUUUAAUGGUCAC